GUGCCUAAUACAUGCAAGUCGAACGAGUUCUCGUUGAUGAUCGGUGCUUGCACCGAGAUUCAACAUGGAACGAGUGGCGGACGGGUGAGUAACACGUGGGUAACCUGCCCUUAAGUGGGGGAUAACAUUUGGAAACAGAUGCUAAUACCGCAUAGAUCCAAGAACCGCAUGGUUCUUGGCUGAAAGAUGGCGUAAGCUAUCGCUUUUGGAUGGACCCGCGGCGUAUUAGCUAGUUGGUGAGGUAAUGGCUCACCAAGGCGAUGAUACGUAGCCGAACUGAGAGGUUGAUCGGCCACAUUGGGACUGAGACACGGCCCAAACUCCUACGGGAGGCAGCAGUAGGGAAUCUUCCACAAUGGACGCAAGUCUGAUGGAGCAACGCCGCGUGAGUGAAGAAGGCUUUCGGGUCGUAAAACUCUGUUGUUGGAGAAGAAUGGUCGGCAGAGUAACUGUUGUCGGCGUGACGGUAUCCAACCAGAAAGCCACGGCUAACUACGUGCCAGCAGCCGCGGUAAUACGUAGGUGGCAAGCGUUAUCCGGAUUUAUUGGGCGUAAAGCGAGCGCAGGCGGUUUUUUAAGUCUGAUGUGAAAGCCCUCGGCUUAACCGAGGAAGCGCAUCGGAAACUGGGAAACUUGAGUGCAGAAGAGGACAGUGGAACUCCAUGUGUAGCGGUGAAAUGCGUAGAUAUAUGGAAGAACACCAGUGGCGAAGGCGGCUGUCUGGUCUGUAACUGACGCCGACGCUCGAAAGCAUGGGU
RNAcentral lists this ribosomal RNA (758 nucleotides) under Lacticaseibacillus casei. RNAcentral's name for it is "bacterial SSU rRNA". It matches the Rfam family "Bacterial small subunit ribosomal RNA", at positions 44 to 766 of the family's 1533-position model. The record is from RNAcentral. Lineage: Bacteria; Bacillati; Bacillota; Bacilli; Lactobacillales; Lactobacillaceae.